Paramuricea clavata is the source of this 2482-nucleotide non-coding RNA. The record is from the annotation of a GenBank genome assembly. NCBI's taxonomy places the organism in Eukaryota, Metazoa, Cnidaria, Anthozoa, Malacalcyonacea, Plexauridae.
CUCUACCUUUAUAAUAUGAACAUGUUUUCUGAUUGGCUUUCUGCUGCAUGCACACUGGCGGCAAUAUAAGCUGCUGUUGGACCUUUUAUGUAUCUUCGCACAUGUGAAUUCAUGUUUUCGGUGUGUUUGGGUGUGCCUCAGAGUUGCUCUUUAUAUAGCUCACAACAGCAGCCCAAAGUGGCCAAGUGCCGUUGGUUUUGUCUAGAAAAGAAAUUGAGCUUUUCUACCAUACAUUAACACUUCUCCAUAUUUGAUAUAUAUCGUUCUAAUACUGUAUGUACAGUACGUUGGUCGUCCAUGCCACUAAAAACAUAAACUGUAGGAGAAACGACCGCUUUUUUGAAGACUUCGGCUGUAAUUCUGUGUAAAAUUUUAAGGUCAUCUUUAGCACUCACCUCUCAUCACCACUAUGGAUUGUCCAUCGACGACGUUGUUCACGCUGUUGAAGUGAAAAUAAACAACGUAUUACUGAUAGGGGUGUACCGAAUAUUGUUUUGCCUGAUACGGAUGAACAUAGUAUGCAUUAUGGAGGACAUACCAUUCGAUUUCAGAUUAAAAAUUUUAUGAGGAUUAGUAUGGACAAUGGGAAAUGCUUUUAGAUUCGAAUCUCUGUUCAGUCCCUACCAUUAGGUAUUAUACGUUUUUGUGUCUCGUCGUACAAGUGUAUAAUUGUCUUGUAAUGUGUGGCGAAUCUUGCAAACAAAUAAAUAUAUAAACAAAAGUUUACCACAUUGCAUGGGUCGAUCGAUGGUGGAACCAUCCACACAAUUAUGGUGGAACCAUCCACAACAUCGGUGGUAGCAUUUGACUCUCUUGGGUUUUAACUUUGUACAUGCUGACUUUGCUAAGUGGUUCAUCCUGAUCAGAAACCCCCCCCCCCCAAGUACAAUAAUACUGCAUGUCACCCCAUUUUACUGUUGCCAUAUCAUACACGGCAUAUGGUAAUGGUGGCACUCUUUUGAAUUCAUUCGUACCAAUAUCAUACAUCGAAACAUUAUCUUCGGCAACAUGGGUGGUAGCAUACAACCUUUUUGGGUUUGAUAUAAAAUGUAUAUAAUUUAGCUUUAUAUAACUCCUCAUUAAAUUCUGGUCAUUUAAUCGGCGGGUUAUUACCACGUGAUAUGAAAUAAAAAUUACCAUUUUGUUCAGCAUAUUCCAUUGCAUGCUCAACCGUAGGACUAGGGACUUAGGCCCAUUUUAUACGUAGAAUUUAGGUCGCGUUGAUUUGGCAAAGUUACCACAAAAACACACACACAUGCAACUCUACCUUUAUAAUAUGAACAUGUUUUCUGAGUGGCUUUCUGCUGCAUGCACACUGGCGGCAAUAUAACCUGCUGUUGGACCUUUUAUGUAUCUUCGCACAUGUGAAUUCAUGUUUUCGGUGUGUUUGGGUGUGCCUCAGAGUUGCUCUUUAUAUAGCUCACAACAGCAGCCCAAAGUGGCCAAGUGCCGUUGGUUUUGUCUAGAAAAGAAAUUGAGCUUUUCUACCAUACCUUAACACUUAUCCAUAUUUGAUAUAUAUCGUUCUAAUACUGUAUGUACAGUACGUUGGUCGUCCAUGCCACUAAAAACAUAAACUGUAGGAGAAACGACCGCUUUUUUGAAGACUUCUGCUGUAAUUCUGUGUAAAAUUUUAAGGUCAUCUUUAGCACUCACCUCUCAUCAGCACUAGGUAUCGUCCAUCGACGUCGUUGUUCACGCUGUUGAAGUGAAAAUAAACAACGUAUUACUGAUAGGGGUGUACCGAAUAUUGUUUUGCCUGAUACGGAUGGACAUAGUGUGCAUUAUGGAGGACAUAGCAUUCGAUUUCAGAUUAAAAAUUUUAUGAGGAUUAGUAUGGACAAUGGGAAAUGCUUUUAGAUUCGAAUCUCUGUUCAGUCCCUACCAUUACGUAUUAUACGUUUUUGUGUCUCGUCGUACAAGUGUAUAAUUGUCUUGUAAUGUGUGGCGAAUCUUGCAAACAAAUAAAUAUAUAAAUAAAGGUUUACCACAUUGCAUGGGUCGAUCGAUGGUGGAACCAUCCACACAAUUAUGGUGGAACCAUCCACAGCAACAGCCACACAACCCACCCUUCUGGUCAACAUCGGUGAUAGCAUUUGACUCUCUUGGGUUUUAACUUUGUACAUGCUGACUUUGCUAAGUGGUUCAUCCUGAUCAGAACCCCCCCCCCCCAAGUACAAUAAUACUGCAUGUCACCCCAUUUUACUGUUGCCAUAUCAUACACGGCAUAUGGUAAUGUGGCACUCUUUUGAAUUCAUUCGUACCAAUAUCAUACAUCGAAACAUUAUCUUCGGCAACAUGGGUGGUAGCAUACAACCUUUUUGGGUUUGAUAUAAAAUGUAUAUAAUUUAGCUUUAUAUAACUCCUCAUUAAAUUCUGGUAAUUUAAUCGGCGGGUUAUUACCACGUGAUAUGAAAUAAAAAUGACCAUUUUGUUCAGCAUAUUCCAUUGCAUGCUCAACCGUAGGACCAGGGACUUAGGC